RNAcentral lists this long non-coding RNA (246 nucleotides) under Neogobius melanostomus (round goby). Its description in RNAcentral is "lncRNA (ENSNMLG00000013006.1)". The record is from RNAcentral. Lineage: Eukaryota; Metazoa; Chordata; Actinopteri; Gobiiformes; Gobiidae.
GUGAAGAGCAGCGCCGCCGCGCCGGACUACUUCAGAGUGCUGCGGCCGUACACUUAUGCAGACAUCCUGUUUGUGACUAUUCCCUCUGAAAACAUGCUGGAGUUCAACCUGACCAAUGAGAAGCUCAUCCUGUUCUCCGCCAAAGCCCCGCAGGUCAAACACCUCAUCGACUCCUUCAUCAGUGAAAUCAAGAAGAAUUCAGACUAUGUGAUUGCUGAGCGUAACUUUGUAUCCGACGACCAUGCC